RNAcentral lists this unclassified non-coding RNA (2488 nucleotides) under Hevea brasiliensis (rubber tree). Lineage: Eukaryota; Viridiplantae; Streptophyta; Magnoliopsida; Malpighiales; Euphorbiaceae. The record is from RNAcentral.
CAAAUGCUCGAACAAGGCUCAGACCCAUCACCGCCAAAAUCGCAGAGAAAACCGCGUUACAGUACAGGAAACUCGGGGACUCGGGUCUUCAAAUUAGCGAAAUUACUAUUGGAACUAUGACCUUUGGGCAACAGAAUACAGAGAAAGAAGCUCAUGAAAUUCUUAGCUAUUCAUUUGAUCACGGCAUUAAUAUUCUUGACACUUCAGAAGUUUAUCCAGUACCAGUGAGUAAGGAAACACAAGGAAGAACAGAUCUCUACAUCGGUAGCUGGUUGAAGUCUCAGCCCCGUGAUAAGGUUAUUUUGGCUACAAAAGUGAGUGGUUAUUCGGAGCGGUCAAGCUACAUCCGUGACAAUGCAAAGGUUUUGAGGGUUGAUGCUGCUAAUAUCAGAGAGAGCGUAGAGAAAAGCCUUCAGCGCCUUAGCACUGACUACAUUGAUUUGUUGCAGAUUCAUUGGUAACUUCAUGGUUUCUGUAUGGUUUAUCCUUACAUAGAAGAUUGCAUUUCUUUUCAUAAAAUUUGUUGUUUAUGAACCUCUUAAGAGAGAGAGAGAAAGAGAGAACUUUGCUAUUAUCUUAAGCCAUAUGUUCAAUCCCUGUAGAAUCUAGAAAUGGCUGAUCAUUCUCACUUGAAUUAUAACUGUGCUGUGAAAUAUUUUGAGUAUAUUAUUUCAUUUGUUGACUCUUGGCUUUAUGGAGUAUCUCACACCAUUAUCCAAAUCCUGGAACUUGGAUGGGUGGUUUGGUUCUCUUGACAAAACCCUGGCCCUGUUUUUCUAAUAUCUGGUCAUAUAUUAUUCAUUUUAAGGACUUCAAGUUCCUGUACAUUGCCUCUUAUUAAGGGCACAGAAUGCAAAAUCUGGUGCAGGCUUAUGCCUCAUAUUCCCAUUUCAAUAGCUUUCUCCGACUCUGAGCGGUAGCCAUGAUGCAUAAGUUAAGAAUACAAGAAGGAUACAUAUUCCAAGAGAUGCUGCUUUGCCAUGUCUUCUGAUGGUGCAUUUUGCUUUGGCUUGAUAAAACUCAAGCAGACGCCCAAUAAUUGCUUUAGCAAGAAAAUCUAAAAAUUGGUGCCUGCUGCAACUCAAGUACAAGGACUUUGUACUUGAGAACAAUCUGAAAGGAUCCUGUUAUGUAACAUCAUAUAAUUCUUGUAGCCUUGGGCAAGAGCUACCAGUACCAGAGCACCACAAAAUUGUUGAUGUGGCAUUUAAUUGCUGACUGCUGUAUUAGUUUUCUUCUUCUCCAUUCUUACUUGUGAAAAGUUUGAAAUGCAUGUUCUAACUGUUAGGAAAUCAAUUAUUAACAGUGUUGAGUUUAACGAUGUAACAUAAUUUUUUUCUUUUAUUACUUUAAAUUUAUUUUGUUUUAUCAUGUGCAAAUUUCCUAAACUUUCAAUUUAUUGUCGAAUGUGGGAACAGGCAGAUUGUGCUUUCUGUUAGUUUUAUUCGAAAGAGAAAUAAAAUUAUAAAAAGAGAAGUUCAUUAGAUAACAUAUGGAUUCAACUGGAAAUAUAGGCCAGAUCGCUAUGUACCUCUGUUUGGAGAGUUUUUCUAUGAUUAUUCAAAAUGGAGACCCAGUGUGCCAUUUUUGGAGCAACUAAGAGCCUUUCAAGAACUCAUCGAUGAAGGAAAGGUACGCUACAUUGGUGUUUCAAAUGAGACUUCAUAUGGAGUAAUGGAAUUUGUUCAUGCAGCCAAAAUUGAAGGGCUACCAAAGAUUGUUAGUAUCCAGAACAACUACAGUUUAUUAGUUAGGUGUCGUUUCGAAGCUGAUCUUGUUGAAGUUUGCCACCCAAAGAAUUGCAACAUUGGCUUACUUGCUUACUCUCCCUUGGCUGGUGGAGCUCUGAGUGGAAAAUAUUUGGAUCUGGACUCUGAAGCUGCCAGAAAAGGAAGACUAAAUCUCUUCCCUGGCUACAUGGCAAGAUACAAAGAUUCACAUUCCAGGGAAGCAACCGUGAAAUACAUUGAAAUGGCCAGGAAGCAUGGCUUAACUCCAGUACAGCUUGCGCUUGGAUUUACACGAGAUCGUCCAUUUAUGACGAGUUCUAUCAUUGGUGCAACCUCACUUGACCAACUAAAAGAAGACAUUGAUGCUUUCUUGACAACUGAGAGACCUUUGCCACCAGAAGUAAUUGCAGAUAUUGAAACCAUUUUCAAGAGAUACAAAGAUCCUGCCAUCCUUUGAGACCUAAUGAACUCGGGACAAUGGGAGAGCAGCCACUGCACAGUGAAUUGGAUAUUUUUUGUGUCUGCCACCAACAACAAAGAACAGCACAAACACCAAACAAGAACAUUCAUCAUUUAUUUGAUAUGAUAAUGAACAUACGUCCGUGGAUGGAGAAGGUGUAUGAGUGUAGAGAUUCACUAUGAAAAUCAGAUAAUAGUAGACUGCAAUUACAGGCAAUUUCAAUAACAUGCUUUUAAUCUUGUAAUUAAGGGGAUAUUUAGUUCAACUGUUAAAUAUAGCUUAUAGCAUCCAAAUAGCU